AGAGUUUGAUCCUGGCUCAGGAUGAACGCUAGCUACAGGCUUAACACAUGCAAGUCGAGGGGCAGCAUGAUUGAAGCUUGCUUCAAUCGAUGGCGACCGGCGCACGGGUGAGUAACACGUAUCCAACCUGCCGAUAACUCGGGGAUAGCCUUUCGAAAGAAAGAUUAAUACCCGAUAGUAUAGUUUUUCCGCAUGGUUUCACUAUUAAAGAAUUUCGGUUAUCGAUGGGGAUGCGUUCCAUUAGAUAGUUGGCGGGGUAACGGCCCACCAAGUCAACGAUGGAUAGGGGUUCUGAGAGGAAGGUCCCCCACAUUGGAACUGAGACACGGUCCAAACUCCUACGGGAGGCAGCAGUGAGGAAUAUUGGUCAAUGGACGAGAGUCUGAACCAGCCAAGUAGCGUGAAGGAUGACUGCCCUAUGGGUUGUAAACUUCUUUUAUACGGGAAUAAAGUGGAGUAUGCAUACUCCUUUGUAUGUACCGUAUGAAUAAGGAUCGGCUAACUCCGUGCCAGCAGCCGCGGUAAUACGGAGGAUCCGAGCGUUAUCCGGAUUUAUUGGGUUUAAAGGGAGCGUAGGCGGGUGCUUAAGUCAGUUGUGAAAGUUUGCGGCUCAACCGUAAAAUUGCAGUUGAUACUGGGCGCCUUGAGUGCAGCAUAGGUAGGCGGAAUUCGUGGUGUAGCGGUGAAAUGCUUAGAUAUCACGAAGAACUCCGAUUGCGAAGGCAGCUUACUGGACUGUAACUGACGCUGAUGCUCGAAAGUGUGGGUAUCAAACAGGAUUAGAUACCCUGGUAGUCCACACAGUAAACGAUGAAUACUCGCUGUUGGCGAUACACAGUCAGCGGCCAAGCGAAAGCAUUAAGUAUUCCACCUGGGGAGUACGCCGGCAACGGUGAAAC
RNAcentral lists this ribosomal RNA (899 nucleotides) under gut metagenome. Its description in RNAcentral is "bacterial SSU rRNA". It matches the Rfam family "Bacterial small subunit ribosomal RNA", at positions 8 to 900 of the family's 1533-position model. The record is from RNAcentral.